AUGCUCUGUAUUGAAUGCGAGGUAACAUCGGUUCAUGCAGGAAGAGAGACUAUCAGUUUUUCGCUAACCUUCGAUAUGGAUGAUUCAAAGUACUCGGGACGAAAUGACUUCGAAUGGGCAGUGAAAUUGAAUCGUGCGGGUUUGAAUUUGAUUGGGAUAUGGCCUGACCCGGAAGAAAAUUCCAGAGAAAAAUUAAUGAGCCAUAUCCGUGUAUUCAUUACAUUUGUGCUGGUGAUAAGUUUAUUGGUGCCUUCUAUACAUUCAUUGAUUAAAACUCAUGCUGAUAUCAUGUUGACAACAGACAAUUUACAAUAUACUUUACCGGUUCUUAGCACCAUUAUAAAACUCUCAAUAUUUUGGUGGAAAAAAAAAGCACUUGCCUCGAUCGUAAAGAUGAUUGUCGAAGACUGGUUAAACUCAAAAACCAUCUAUGAAAAAAAUGAGAUGAUAAAAUGGGCGCUACGUGCACGUAUAAUUAUUACAUGCACGUAUCUUGUAAUAACAGUGGCAUUUAUAAUUUUUUUUGGCAUGCCUAUUUUCGGAAAAUCAAUGGCAUUGACACCGAAUAUCACGGAUUCCGGCAAAUCAAUGCUCAUGCCAACCUAUUACAUUUAUGAUGUAACGAAGAAACCGCAGUAUGAAUUAACAUUUAUUAGUCAAUGCAUCUCUAUCAGUACUGUUGCCGUGAUUUAUACAGGAAUCGAUAACUUUUUUGCAUUAUGUGUUUUUCAUAUUUGCGGACAAUUGAAUAUUAUGAGGAGUCGUCUCAAACAUAGUCACGGAAAUUUUCGUACCUUAUUAAAGAAUAGUGUGAUAUAUCAUAUUCGAUUGCUCAAAACUAUAAAUACUAUAGAAGAUACGUACAAUGUGAUACUUUUAAUAUUGUUUGUAUAUUUUGGACUAAUGUUUGCAUUCUGCGGAUUCCUAUUAAUUAUUCUAUUUGAAGUCGAAGAGAACAAUGUAUCGUUCACGCGUUUGUUAUUUCUUUUCCUUGUUAUUAUCUCUAUGCUCGUACAUAUGGGUAUUUAUUGCGCAGUUGGUGAGGCACUAAUAUCUGAAUGCAAUGGAAUUUAUUAUGCGGUCUACGAUUUCGAAUGGUACUAUUUGGAUCCAAAAGAAGCGAAGGAUUUAAUCCCAUUUAUGAUUAAAGUUAGUGAGCCUGUAUAUUUUACUGCUGGAAACGUGUUUCCAGUGACAAUGGCUAUGCUUUGCAAUUUGAUAAAGACAUCGGCCGGUUACAUAUCCGUUUUACUUGCAACGAAAGAAAAUUAAAAUUUCAUUUAAGAAUAAAUUCUUUUUAGCGUUUCCUAGAACCAUAACAGUAAUAAACGACACUAUUUGGAUAAAAGUCAGUUAUUGUAUAUAUUGUAAUGGUACUUUUACAAAUAAUUUAUGAAGUGGAGCCGAUAUAUUAUCUGCAAUGUGUCUUACACUAUCAUGCUUUUAGAAAAAUAAGAAUGUAUAAUAAAUAUUAUUAUAUUAUAAUGCAUAAUUCUAAUCAACUAAUGUUACAUAAGUAGAAUUAGUGUUAAUGUUUCCGUUGCAUUAAAUACAAAAUAAUAUAAACCACA
Molecule: unclassified non-coding RNA, 1571 nt
Filed under: Ooceraea biroi (clonal raider ant)
Lineage: Eukaryota; Metazoa; Arthropoda; Insecta; Hymenoptera; Formicidae
Description: odorant receptor Or2-like, transcript variant X2
Source: RNAcentral